UACAGAGGGUGCGAGCGUUAAUCGGAAUUACUGGGCGUAAAGCGUGCGUAGACGGUUACGUAAGUCGGAUGUGAAAUCCCCGGGCUCAACCUGGGAAUUGCAUUCGAGACUGCGCAGCUGGGGUGCGGAAGAGGGAAGCGGAAUUUCCGGUGUAGCGGUGAAAUGCGUAGAUAUCGGGAGGAACAUCAGUGGCGAAGGCGGCUGCCUGGCCCAAUACUGACACUCAGGUGCGACAGCGUGGGGAGCAAACAGG
RNAcentral lists this ribosomal RNA (253 nucleotides) under uncultured bacterium. RNAcentral's name for it is "partial 16S ribosomal RNA". It matches the Rfam family "Bacterial small subunit ribosomal RNA", at positions 524 to 776 of the family's 1533-position model. The record is from RNAcentral.